GUACCCGUAGCUCAAUUGGAUAGAGCAUUGGUUUGCGGAACCAAAGGUUGGAGGUUCGAUCCCUCUCGGGUACAC
RNAcentral lists this transfer RNA (75 nucleotides) under bioreactor metagenome. RNAcentral's name for it is "tRNA-Arg". It matches the Rfam family "tRNA". From Rfam's summary of the family: Transfer RNA (tRNA) molecules are approximately 80 nucleotides in length. Their secondary structure includes four short double-helical elements and three loops (D, anti-codon, and T loops). The record is from RNAcentral.